GGGUUCAAAUCCGUUCUCCGCAA
Molecule: transfer RNA, 23 nt
Filed under: Campanula waldsteiniana
Lineage: Eukaryota; Viridiplantae; Streptophyta; Magnoliopsida; Asterales; Campanulaceae
Description: partial tRNA-Met
Source: RNAcentral